AAAACCAUGACUGGGGAAGGGAAAUUAAGAAGCGGGUUUAGAAAGGGGUGCAUAAAAGAAUACUCAAAGAGCUUGAAUACGCGUGAAAUAUUCCUUAAAAAGGAAAAAGGCAUAGUUCGCAUAAAAAGGGUACUCAACGAACUUGUAUAAGCGUUAUAUUCCUUAAAAGGAAAAAGGCAUCGUUAGGGGCUUGGCUAAAACAUUAUCAGAGUUUGCAACGGAAGGUGUAACUGAAAUAAUCAGUGUUUACAGCGGAAUGCAUAACUGAGAUACAUGUAUGAAGACAUGUAUCCUUUCUGAGCCUACUUUAAGUUCAACAAAAACUCCACUCAGCAACAACACUUCAUCGCCCAUCACAGCUCAACCUGCACAAACAUAAACAUACGAAGGGCUGAGUACAAGAGUACUCAGUGGGCAGUGCCAAGCAUAUAACAUAACAUCAUUAACAAUUUCACAAUAUCGCAUAAGAGGCAUGAGUUUCUUUCAAAUCCUUUGCUCAUUAAACAUUUCCAUAUUCAUAAACAGGAUGAGCGCAUUCUUCAUCAUUAACAAUCAUCAACACGCAUCGUGUCGUGGAGAAGGCCUUCCCCAACGACACGGGCAUCGCACCGUGAAGGGGGCCUCCCUCAGCGGUCACGGCAUCGUACUAUUGAGGGAGGCCUCCCCCAAUAGACGCUGUAACACUGGAUACUACUGGCAUCGCGCCGCGAGAGAGGCCUCUCUCAGCGGACACGGGCAUCGCGCCGUGAGGAAGGCCCUCCUCAGCGGACACGGCAUCGUACUGUUGAGGGAGGCCUCCCCCAACAGACGCAAGCAUCAAACAUAAGCAUAAACUUAUCAGCGUAAAGCAUUCAAGCGUAAAUAAGCGUAAUCAUUUAACGUGCAUCAUAAUAAAGGUUAACUCAUUUAAGCGUAAUAAAGCAUACCAUACUUGAAGAUCCAAUUUGCAUUUUAAAGCAUAACACUUGCAUAGCAUUUUAUUUACGCGUAAGAAAUUGCCCACCUGAUAGCAAAGUUUUGCUAAGGUACUGUGACUUCUUGAAUAGUUCUUACUCUCGCGCUUGACCUUAAUCAUGAGAAUGUAAAAUAAGACAUUGCCUCGAGGAAAAUUCUCAAUUAAUGAGGAAGCGUAAUUAACUAUGCAUGAAUCUGGUAUGCAUGAACUAAUCUUUUGAGCGAUAAUUGGGAAUUAUACUAUUAUUAAUCCAGGCUAUCGGAUUUAAACAAAAGCUAAGUCUCGUCUCAUGAAGCCGGAUAAUUAACUAAAAUUAAUCCGUUCUCUUCGGGAUGUUCUAAACCGUCAAUUUAAUAAACCCCGCUCCUCGUAGUCAAUAGAAAAUAAAUAAAUAAAUACUUCAACUUAUUCGUCUUAUAACCUCAAAAACUCAAUCGGGCUUAAUAAAUGGAAGAAAGUAUUGUUGUAAGUUUAAUUAAUUAAAAGACUCGACAUAAGGUAGCCUAAUAAUUAAUUAAGUAAAAGUGGGCCUAAAUAAUUAUAUAAAAGGCCCAAUUGAAAUGAAGUAAUAGAGGCCCAUCUGAAUAAAAUAAAUAAGGCCCAACUGAAGUAAAAUAAUUGGUUAGUUGGGCUCAAAUAAAUAAAUCAAUCAAGGUCCAGCUCAGAUAAUACAACAGCCCAAUUAAAAUACAAUGUAGUUGGGCUUUAAUGAAAUAAACCAUAAUAGCUUGCUUUAAAGUCUGAAGUCCAAAACAAUAAUUAAUAAACUGGGCGGCUCAUUUACUGAAUACGAAUCGGCUCACCCACUGAUAAAUAAUUGGGCUCCAUCAAAAAUUGAUACUGCUAGGCUUAGCUCAAAUGAGUAACUUCAGCUCAAGCUUUAAAAGAAUUAAAGCCCAUCUUAAAAAGUCUUCGACCCAAAACAAUUAAAAUAGGGGUCCAAAUAAUAAUUGAGGUUUGGAAUAAUAGCCCAUCAUAAAAUAUGCAUCAGCCCAAUUCCUUAAAUAAAUCAAGCCCAAUAGAAUUAAUGAGAAGGCCAAUUAAAUUAAAGAUUGGCCCAGUUCGAAUUUAAUGAAAGCCCAAUCAAUUAAAUUGGAAGCUCAAUUCCUUUAAAAUAAAACAAACCCAAGCUCAAAUAAUUCGGCCCAAAUAAUAUAGAUAAAGGCCCAAUUCGAAUUUAGAUGUGAAGCCCAAGCCAUUAAAAUUCAAGCCCGAAAAUUAAAAGGGAAAAGCCCAAACAAUUAAAUAUGAAAGCCCAAGCAAAAGAAAUAAAAUUAAGCCCAUUCUAAAAAUCAGAGGCCCAACAUAAUAGAAUAAAAACCGGCCCAACAACUUAAGCCCAUUCACUCUUUCCUUCUACAUUUUCGGCCCAAUAGCCAAAGCCCAACAAUCCAGGCCCAAAACACUUAAAAUCUGUAGCCCACAACAGUUAAAACAAGGCCCAAUAUCUCGGCCCAAGAGAAAAUAAAAUAAAGCCCCAUUGAAUCUCUCUCUCUUUCAAAGAAACACACACACACAGACGCACGCUUCUAACCCUCUCUCUCUCUCGAUCCGUCUCCAGCCGAGGCGGGCGUCGCCGCCGCUGCCGGCGCGGCCGUGCCUGGCAGAGGGCGGCACACCUUGCCGUCUCACUCUCCUCUCUCUCUCAAGACAAUUCACGCUUUUCUCUCUCUUUUCUCUCUCUCAAGAACCGACGCUCCCUCUCUUCCUCAAGGCCGGCCGAUCGGCCUCUUCUCCUCUCACCGAGAUGCCGUUCGGCCACCGCCUGCUCCGACCGGCGUCGUCUUCUCUCUUCCUCAAAAUCCAAUCUCGCCUUUCUCUCUCUGGAAGAGCCGCUCGUCCCCUUCUCCUCAAACCAGUCGAGCCCUAACUCAAGAAGUCCUCGCCGCUGUCGCUGCUACUCCUUCGCCCGAAAUCCGGCGAUUCAGCUGGCGCUCUCCCAUCCUGUCAUCUCAAUUCAUCGAUUCCCCAACAUCGAGCCCUGAUUCUCAAGGAAUUAUCGCUGCUGCUACCCUUUCGAAAUUGGGCAGCCGGUCGCCGUCUGGGAGCGGCGUUGCUCCGGCCUGGAGCCCGUCGGCCUCCUCUCUUUCAUGGUUCCAGUCGGCCUCAGUGAUUCUCCAGCUCCGACGCCCUGAAUUUCUGGCGAGUCGCCGCUGCAGAGCAGCCGCUGCUCGGCUCGGUACCGGUCAAGGCAGUCAGCCUUCCCUUCUCGCCGCGACGUCAACAGAGGCCCCGUCGUCGCCACCAGUGGAGGCCGGCGAGUCCGCGAGUCAGUGUUGCCGUUUAUACUCCGUUGCAGUUGUCGAGUUCGAGCCACGCCGUUGCUGUUGUUCCCGUUUUACGACGAGGUAGCAGGAGCUUGUCGCCGUUAUCUCCGUCGUUGCAGCUGGACUGAACAAGGAAGUCGGCCUCUCUUUUCUUCCAUAAGCUAAGUCUUUGUUCUCCUUUUCUUCCAUAUGGUUAUCAAGGAUUGUGGCCUUUAUGUCCCUGACUAUGUAAGGGUUAAAUGUUUGUUCUUUAUGGCUUUCGGUUCUAAGUACAGUGGCAAUCUAUUUCAAUGUAUGAGUCAAACUAUUUCUGUGGAAUGCUAUAAUCAUGCACGCAUAUGUGGUUUGCUAUGUCCCUCUGUAAUAUACUUAAUCCUGUAUUUAUGAACUUCCAAUACAUGAAGCAUGCUUUGAUGGUGUGAAACAUAUGACAUCAAGAGAGCAAUUGAGAUAGGAAUUACCUUGAAUGUUCUUGUUCAUGUGGUGAGUUGAAACUGAAACAAUUGGUUGUUUAUAACAUACUGUAAAAAUGAAAUCGGCGAGAAGGUUACAAGAUGGAACCUUAAGUUGAGCUGUUGAAAACCUGAAUGUUUUGGCUUUAAGGAAAUUGACAUAUUAAUUGAAUUGAAGAAUGAAACCUUUUAUGAAAAGAUCCCGUUGUUGCUGUUAUUAAUUUGAUGGACGAUGGAAGUUCGGAUCAUCCAGCUGAUGAAAUUCUUGGUUGCGAGAGAAAACUUAUGAAUUGAUAGAUGUGUGGGAAUAAAGGGCAUGGUAUAAAGUGGUAGAUGGUGGAAGGAAAGGAGGGGAGCAAAGGAUGGUGGCAACACUUUUCCUUUUCCUUUUCCUAUUCUUCUUUCUCUUUUCUUCUUUAUGCAAAUGCCAAAUUAUUGUGGUGUAAUUGGAAGGUAUGAACGAAAAUUGAUUGUAAGAGUUUGUAAAGUAUGAGAAUGAUAUUGAUGAAUAAAUGAAGUAUAUCCUCAUGCCUUGGUGAUGCUAAUACUGUAAUAUGAAUCUAGAUUAAAUCCGUAGAUUUAAUCUGCGUUGCAGUCGGAAUAAUUUCUCGACUUCUAGUAGCACUAAUAAAAUAUAACUGCUUCUGUUUUUCGAUUAAUAAAUAACAUGACUUUGCUAAGUCAGUUAUAACUUGGAAAUAAUAAUUAUUGAAUGGCUCAAUAAUCCUCGUCGCGUUUUU
This 4414-nucleotide long non-coding RNA is filed under the name Salvia miltiorrhiza (redroot sage). RNAcentral's name for it is "long non-coding RNA (SMIL_LNC008739)". The record is from RNAcentral. Lineage: Eukaryota; Viridiplantae; Streptophyta; Magnoliopsida; Lamiales; Lamiaceae.